UGAACUUGGAACUAUGAUUGCUAAUAACGAAAUUAGUUUUUUUGACCAAAGUAAUAAAGAAAACAUCAAUCCAAAUUACACUGUCUUGGAAAAAAACUCACAAUCAGUAACAGGACAAGAUUACAAUAACAAUUCAGUUCCCGAGUCUAUUGAGUGCCCUUUGUGCUUUACAACAAAUUCAGUAGACAUUCGUUGGAGAAUGACAGCUUGUUGUAGCUGUAAACAUAGAUUUUGUCGACACUGUUUUUGUGCUAAUCAUAAAUUUUCCGGAAGAAA
Molecule: long non-coding RNA, 276 nt
Organism: Octopus sinensis (East Asian common octopus)
Lineage: Eukaryota; Metazoa; Mollusca; Cephalopoda; Octopoda; Octopodidae
Exons: 3
Source: RefSeq, a predicted model, not a curated record